GGGGACAUAGUUCACUGGUAGAACAUGUGCUUAGCAUGCAUGAGGCCUUGGGUUCAAUCUCCCCA
Molecule: transfer RNA, 65 nt
Filed under: Heterocephalus glaber (naked mole-rat)
Lineage: Eukaryota; Metazoa; Chordata; Mammalia; Rodentia; Bathyergidae
Rfam family: tRNA
About the family: Transfer RNA (tRNA) molecules are approximately 80 nucleotides in length. Their secondary structure includes four short double-helical elements and three loops (D, anti-codon, and T loops).
Source: Rfam by way of RNAcentral